RNAcentral lists this ribosomal RNA (253 nucleotides) under uncultured bacterium. RNAcentral's name for it is "partial 16S ribosomal RNA". It matches the Rfam family "Bacterial small subunit ribosomal RNA", at positions 524 to 776 of the family's 1533-position model. The record is from RNAcentral.
UACAGAGGGGGCAAGCGUUGUUCGGAAUUACUGGGCGUAAAGGGCGCGUAGGCGGCCUGUUAAGUCGAACGUGAAAUCCCCGGGCUCAACCCGGGAACUGCGUCCGAUACUGGCAGGCUUGAAUCCGGGAGAGGGAUGCGGAAUUCCUGGUGUAGCGGUGAAAUGCGUAGAGAUGUGGAGGAACACCAGUGGCGAAGGCGGCUUUCUGGUCUGUAACUGACGCUGAGGCGCGAAAGCGUGGGGAGCAAACAGG